RNAcentral lists this ribosomal RNA (432 nucleotides) under uncultured bacterium. RNAcentral describes it as "bacterial SSU rRNA". It matches the Rfam family "Bacterial small subunit ribosomal RNA", at positions 917 to 1349 of the family's 1533-position model. The record is from RNAcentral.
GGACCCGCACAAGCGGUGGAUGAUGUGGUUUAAUUCGAUGCAACGCGAAAAACCUUACCCACCUUUGACAUGUACGGAAUCCUUUAGAGAUAGAGGAGUGCUCGAAAGAGAGCCGUAACACAGGUGCUGCAUGGCUGUCGUCAGCUCGUGUCGUGAGAUGUUGGGUUAAGUCCCGCAACGAGCGCAACCCUUGUCAUUAGUUGCUACAUUCAGUUGGGCACUCUAAUGAGACUGCCGGUGACAAACCGGAGGAAGGUGGGGAUGACGUCAAGUCCUCAUGGCCCUUAUAGGUGGGGCUACACACGUCAUACAAUGGCUGGUACAGAGGGUUGCCAACCCGCGAGGGGGAGCUAAUCCCAUAAAGCCAGUCGUAGUCCGGAUCGCAGUCUGCAACUCGACUGCGUGAAGUCGGAAUCGCUAGUAAUCGCGGAU